CAAGUACUCCCGCCGUUCGGAAUUACUUGUCUCGAAAAUGGAUGUAUCUAGAACAAAAAUACGUCUAGAUACAUCCAUUUCCGAGACAAGUAAUUCCGAACAGAGGGAGUAUGAG
Triticum aestivum (bread wheat) is the source of this 115-nucleotide non-coding RNA. NCBI's taxonomy places the organism in Eukaryota, Viridiplantae, Streptophyta, Magnoliopsida, Poales, Poaceae. The record is from Rfam.